AUGGUCCAAAUAUUGUCCCUGAUCCACAACGGAGAUGGUAGACUGACUAGCAUGCCCUACAUACCAGCAGACGUCACAAACCUAAAGGCAAAGUACCGUAGAGAGAGCAGGUUGGCUGACAUAGAACCCACGAUAGCCUACUUUGAAGAGAAAGCAAAAGCAGAUGCUGAUUUCGUCUACAGGAUAAGAUUGGACGAUGAGGACCGUGUCAGAAACAUGUAUUGGAUGGAUGGUGCUGCAAGAAGGGCCUACAAACAUUUCCGUGAUUGCAUAUCAUUCGACAUGACAUAUCUCACUAAUAUGUACAAGAUGCCCUGCGCUCCAUUCAUAGGAAUAAAUAAC
This 342-nucleotide ribosomal RNA is filed under the name Triticum aestivum (bread wheat). RNAcentral's name for it is "partial small subunit ribosomal RNA". The record is from RNAcentral. Lineage: Eukaryota; Viridiplantae; Streptophyta; Magnoliopsida; Poales; Poaceae.